GAUGAACGCUGGCGGCGUGCUUAACACAUGCAAGUCGAACGAAGAACCUCUGUUGUUUUGCUUUGGGAGAGUUUCUAUUGUGAGUGAGAGGCGGAAGGGUGAGUAACGCGAGGGUAAGAUGCCUUGAAGAGGGGGAUGACAGUAGGAAAUGGCAGCUCAUACUGCAUAAGGGCAGGGCAACGCUUGAUGCAGUGUGGAAAAGUCUGGUGGGAUAGGAUGGACGCGCGUUGGAUUAGCGAGUUGGUGAGGUAAAGGCCUACCAAGGCGACGAUGCAUAGCCGAGCUGGGGACCUGACCGACCACAUUGGAGCUAAGACCCAGCCCAAUCUCGUACGCAAGGCAGCAGUGUAGAAUAUUGCACGAUGAACCAAGGCCUAGUGCAGCGACGCCGCGUAUGCGAAGAAGUAGUUCGGUAUGUGAAUCUCUAUCAGAAGAAGAGUUAAUGACGGUACCGGACUAAGAAGCACCGGCUAACUACGUG
This 481-nucleotide ribosomal RNA is filed under the name uncultured bacterium. RNAcentral's name for it is "partial 16S ribosomal RNA". It matches the Rfam family "Bacterial small subunit ribosomal RNA", at positions 28 to 507 of the family's 1533-position model. The record is from RNAcentral.